UGCUUCUUGGUGUAAAAAACACUUCUAACUUGCACUUAGAGGAUGGGAAAGUCCCAGAAGCGA
RNAcentral lists this transfer RNA (63 nucleotides) under Argopecten purpuratus. Its description in RNAcentral is "tRNA-Ala". The record is from RNAcentral. Lineage: Eukaryota; Metazoa; Mollusca; Bivalvia; Pectinida; Pectinidae.